UCCCCGUUAUCCGAGGCAGUCUGAUGUGAAAUAACAACACAUCAUAGGGGUUGCGCUCGUUACCCCACUUAAGGGUACACCUCACGGCACGAGCUGACGACAACCAUGCAGCACCUGUUGUAGCACCCUCGAAGGAGUCCCACUUUCAUGGGAUUUGCAGCUACUUGUCAAGCCUUGGUGAGGUUCCUCGCUUAUCGUCGAAUUAACCCACAUGUUCCACCGCUUGUGCGGGUCCCCGUCUAUUCCUUUGAGUUUUAGUCUUGCGACCGUACUCCCCAGGCGGAGUGCUUAACGCGUUAGCUUAGUUGAACGACUCUGGGAGGGUCGAUACUCCCAAAAUCCAGCACUCAUCGUUUAGGGCACGGACUA
Molecule: unclassified non-coding RNA, 369 nt
Filed under: uncultured bacterium
Lineage: Bacteria
Description: contains 16S-23S intergenic spacer region
Source: RNAcentral